UGGGGAAUAUUGGGCAAUGGGGCGCAAGCCUGACCCAGCAACGCCGCGUGAAGGAAGAAGGCUUUCGGGUUGUAAACUUCUUUUGUCAGGGACGAGCAGAAGACGGUACCUGACGAAUAAGCCACGGCUAACUACGUGCCAGCAGCCGCGGUAAUACGUAGGUGGCAAGCGUUGUCCGGAUUUACUGGGUGUAAAGGGAGCGCAGGCGGCGAAGCAAGCCAGAGGUGAAAACCCGGGGCUCAACCCCGAGGAUUGCCUUUGGAACUGUUUUGCUCGAGUGCUGGAGGGGCAGGCGGAAUUCCCUGGUGUAGCGGUGAAAUGCGUAGAUAUCAGGAGGAACACCGGUGGCGAAGGCGGCCUGCUGGACAGUAACUGACGCUGAGGCUCGAAAGCGUGGGGAGCAAACAGGAUUAGAACUCUGGUAGU
RNAcentral lists this ribosomal RNA (426 nucleotides) under uncultured Flavonifractor sp. RNAcentral describes it as "bacterial SSU rRNA". It matches the Rfam family "Bacterial small subunit ribosomal RNA", at positions 355 to 794 of the family's 1533-position model. Lineage: Bacteria; Bacillati; Bacillota; Clostridia; Eubacteriales; Oscillospiraceae. The record is from RNAcentral.